RNAcentral lists this ribosomal RNA (235 nucleotides) under uncultured bacterium. RNAcentral's name for it is "partial 16S ribosomal RNA". It matches the Rfam family "Bacterial small subunit ribosomal RNA", at positions 543 to 776 of the family's 1533-position model. The record is from RNAcentral.
GUCCGGAAUUAUUGGGCGUAAAGAGCUCGUAGGCGGUGUGUCACGUCGGCCGUGAAAACCUGCAGCUUAACUGUGGGCGUGCGGUCGAUACGGGCAUCACUGGAGUUCGGCAGGGGAGACUGGAAUUCCUGGUGUAGCGGUGAAAUGCGCAGAUAUCAGGAGGAACACCGGUGGCGAAGGCGGGUCUCUGGGCCGAUACUGACGCUGAGGAGCGAAAGCGUGGGGAGCAAACAGG